This is a long non-coding RNA of Lolium perenne, 954 nucleotides long. RefSeq lists it as uncharacterized. The record is from RefSeq and is a predicted model, not a curated record. NCBI's taxonomy places the organism in Eukaryota, Viridiplantae, Streptophyta, Magnoliopsida, Poales, Poaceae.
GUAGCCCAGCUGACCGGCUCACUAGUGCACACGCACGGAAGAGGUCUUCUUCCUCCUGGGCACAUAUACUGGCACGUACAGCCAUGGCUUCUUCUUUUCAUCUUCAAUUUCCCCUUAUUUCUAGCGACCGUUUCUUCUCGAGUUCAAUACGAAAGUUACUCCUAAUUAGAUGAGCGUUCCAUUCAGGCAAUUAUUUCUCCACUUUAUUGCCUUAAUCUCCCAAAUCGUCCAGGUGCACCGAAUGCCGCCCGAUGGCAUACACCUCCCGAUCUCCCUCCUCAGCCCAUACUAAAUCAAACCGAGGAGAGCACCUUGUGUUCCUUGUUCUUCUCCACCGCUUUCAUUCACAAAGUUUCUCCAGAUAAACCAUGUACAGACCACACCGACCAUGCCAUCUACAGCCUCAAAUUCGAGUUCAUCGCUAGAUCUUGUCGUCUAGAGUGAUCACCAUGAAACUUCCUUGCACCAUAAGAUGUUUCUCUUCAAGGUCUACCUCCGGGACAUAGUCGUUUAUCACCUAGUUGAUGUUGGCCGCGACAUCAUCGGAGUUCAUCAGACUGGACAUCUGGGUGCAGUCUCUGGUCGAUGUUUGACACGCAGCCGUCGUUCCCUCCUCUCGCCGGCCGCCAUGACGCUGUUGACGAAUACGAUAAACAACACACACAACGAUGUCUGCCGUCGCUUCAUCCGACUCGCUGCAGACACAAUCUACGCCGGGACAUACUGAGGAGUCCUCAUUUUCUAUUUAACGAGCUGCACGUCUUUCACUCCUUCCACGAGCUCUGCCACCACCGGACAAUAACUUCUUCGAUUUCACGAGCCGCCGUGGUCGCACGAAGCAGUUCCAACGACCUUUGUAGGCGAGCGCUGCUACUGUUUGUGCGGAGAGCCACGUGUUUUGAUUGAGAUAAAAGGGAACGAUCUUCAACUACCAAAAGGCAAGUGACACACACC